RNAcentral lists this ribosomal RNA (253 nucleotides) under uncultured bacterium. RNAcentral describes it as "partial 16S ribosomal RNA". It matches the Rfam family "Bacterial small subunit ribosomal RNA", at positions 524 to 776 of the family's 1533-position model. The record is from RNAcentral.
UACAGAGGGGGCAAGCGUUGUUCGGAAUUACUGGGCGUAAAGGGCGCGUAGGCGGCCUCCUAAGUCAGACGUGAAAUCCCUCGGCUCAACCGGGGAACUGCGUCUGAUACUGGUUGGCUUGAAUCCGGGAGAGGGAUGUGGAAUUCCAGGUGUAGCAGUGAAAUGCGUAGAUAUCUGGAGGAACACCGGUGGCGAAGGCGACAUCCUGGACCGAUAUUGACGCUGAGGCGCGAAAGCCAGGGGAGCAAACGGG